CUGGUCUCAAAUCAGGUAGGACUACCCGCUGAACUUAAGCAUAUCAAUAAGCGGAGGAAAAGAAACUAACUAGGAUUCCCUUAGUAACGGCGAGUGAACCGGGAAAAGCUCAAAUUUGUAAUCUGGCUGUCUUCGAUAGUCCGAGUUGUAAUCUAUAGACGUGUUUUCCGUGCUGGACCGUAUCUAAGUCCCUUGGAACAGGGUAUCAAAGAGGGUGACAAUCCCGUGCUUGAUACGACCACCAGUGCUCUGUGAUACACGCUCUACGAGUCGAGUUGUUUGGGAAUGCAGCUCAAAAUGGGUGGUAAAUUCCAUCUAAAGCUAAAUAUUGGCGAGAGACCGAUAGCGAACAAGUACCGUGAGGGAAAGAUGAAAAGCACUUUGGAAAGAGAGUUAAACAGUACGUGAAAUUGUUGAAAGGGAAACGAUUGAAGUCAGUCGUGUUCUUUGGAUUCAGCUAGUUCUUCUAGUCUACUUCCAUUGAACGGGUCAACAUCAGUUUUGUCCGGUGGAUAAAGAUAGUAGGAAUGUAGCUCCCCCGGGAGUGUUAUAGACUAUUAUUGCAUACACUGGGUGAGACUGAGGACUGCAGCUCGCCUUUUGGCCGGUCUUCGGACACGUUCGAGCUUAGGAUGUUGACAUAAUGGCUUUAAACGAC
Molecule: ribosomal RNA, 658 nt
Filed under: Cutaneotrichosporon dermatis
Lineage: Eukaryota; Fungi; Basidiomycota; Tremellomycetes; Trichosporonales; Trichosporonaceae
Description: eukaryotic LSU rRNA
Rfam family: Eukaryotic large subunit ribosomal RNA
Source: RNAcentral